UACCGGAUUGACGAACAACUUCUUGAAAAUUGAAAAUCGUUGUAAUUGAACACUUGAAAACUUCAAUUCAACAACUUCACAAUGUUUCACGAAUUUGGAACAAAAAUUAAGCACUUGCACUAGAAAGAUUGAAAGAGAGCUUGAGAGAGAUUGAGAGAGAUUGAUGAAUUGGGGAAUAAAAAUGAAAGAAUGAGGGGGUAUUUAUGGUUGAGAAAUGAGAAAUAGUGUAAUUAUAUAAAGUUUGGGGGCCAAAUGGCUAUUUUUUAAACUUCCAAACGGCUAC
RNAcentral lists this long non-coding RNA (283 nucleotides) under Nicotiana benthamiana. RNAcentral's name for it is "long non-coding RNA (NBEN_LNC027525)". Lineage: Eukaryota; Viridiplantae; Streptophyta; Magnoliopsida; Solanales; Solanaceae. The record is from RNAcentral.